Molecule: ribosomal RNA, 373 nt
Filed under: uncultured organism
Description: partial 16S ribosomal RNA
Rfam family: Bacterial small subunit ribosomal RNA
Source: RNAcentral
GUAGGUGGCAAGCGUUGGCCGGAAUUAUUGGGCGUAAAGCGCGCGCAGGUGGGUUCUUUAAGUCUGAUGUGAAAGCCCCCGGGCUCAACCGGGGAGGGUCAUUGGAAACUGGGGAACUUGAGUGCAGGAGAGGAAAGUGGAAUUCCACGUGUAGCGGUGAAAUGCGUAGAUAUGUGGAGGAACACCAGUGGCGAAGGCGACUUUCUGGCCUGUAACUGACACUGAGGCGCGAAAGCGUGGGGAGCAAACAGGAUUAGAUACCCUGGUAGUCCACGCCGUAAACGAUGAGUGCUAAGUGUUGGGGGGUUUCCGCCCCUCAGUGCUGCAGCUAACGCAUUAAGCACUCCGCCUGGGGAGUACGGUCGCAAGACUG